Molecule: long non-coding RNA, 500 nt
Organism: Gadus morhua (Atlantic cod)
Lineage: Eukaryota; Metazoa; Chordata; Actinopteri; Gadiformes; Gadidae
Exons: 2
Source: RefSeq, a predicted model, not a curated record
GGAACUAUUGCAUUCAAUAAGUGAACUGAACAAGGAGCUGGUUUUGGAGAAUACGACAAAAUGGCUGUGGUUGCACUGUACCAAUCGGGGCGUUUAAAAAACGAAACUAUCUGAAGGGUUUGCAGAGGGAAAACAUCAUCACACAACCGGUCCUGGUGGCUUGCCGGUUAUAAACCGCUGAACGGUCGGUUCUCCGGGAGAGGCUGAAGCGAUCAGCGCCUUUUUUUUCUCAAUGCACAACAACGCCUCUACUAGCGGUGUGCAGUGAAUGAGGAGCCCAUCGAGCCCGGACGAUGGGAGCCAACGCCGUCGCCGUCGCCGUGCCGACGCCGACAGAGAUCCGCUCAACUUGGAGAGCCGACAGCGCCGCCAUAGGAGAUCCGAAGCUGCGUUUAAUAAUUGAUUCAUUAAUCAUCUAUAAGUCCAUUAAAUCAGAGGCUUCCUCUGGAAUUCUAAUCGCCCAGCCCCGGCAACGAUAAAGGCGCAGUAGGGCGGCCUUA